Molecule: long non-coding RNA, 1808 nt
Organism: Homo sapiens (human)
Lineage: Eukaryota; Metazoa; Chordata; Mammalia; Primates; Hominidae
Gene: CCDC18-AS1
Product: CCDC18 antisense RNA 1
Source: Ensembl
GACUUCCGGGUGUGGCUGCCGCCCUUCCCCCACCCACGCCGGCGGGAGCCGCCCGUUCGCGCUGCCAGCAGCUUCCGCCUGCUACGGUCCUGGCAAGCACCUCGGGAUCCCAUUCCUUCACAGGGACCCUAGCCAGUUAAAGCUGAUACAUUCCUGUGGGUCAACUAUGCAACUAACUCAGAUUUUGAGCAAACAAAGCUCUCAAGUUGGUGAUCCUCAGGAGUCUCUGCAUUAGUUGGACAGCUCUUCUGGAAUUAUCUUCUAAGUCAACUGUGGGUUGGGUAGGUGGCUCUGCUGAUUUUUCGCUGGACUUCCACAUUUGGGACGAGUUGGCUGUCAUCAGCUCUAGAAAGGGUGUGGCCGUUUUACAUUGGCUGUUUUCCUCACAUUCCUCAAGCAGGUGGCUGUAGCUACCUUCUGCAUAUGGAUAUCCAGUUUUCCCAGCACCACUUAUUAAAGAGACUGUCUUUUCUGCAGUGUAUAUUCUUGGCACCGUUGUUGAAAAUGAAUUCAUUGUAGGUGUGUGGGUUUGUUUCUGGGUUCUCUAUUCUGUUCAACUUGUCUAUGUGUCUGUUUUUAUGCCAGUACCGUGUCAUUUUAGUUACCAGAGCUCUGCAGUAUAAUUUGAAACCAGGUCAUGUGAUUCCUCCAGUUUUGUGGUAUUAGGAUAGGUUUGGCUAUUCUGAGUCUUUUGUGGUUCCAUAUAAAUUUUAGAAUUUUUUUUUUCUAUUUCUGUGAAGAAUGUCAUUGGUAUUUUGAUAGGGAUUGCGUUGAAUCUGUAGAUUGCUUUGGGUAGUAUGGACAUUUUAACAAUAUUCAUUCUUCUAAUCCAUGAACAUGGAAUACCUUUCCAUUUUUUGGUGUCCAUUUCAAUUUCUUUCAUCAGUCUUAUACUUUUCAUUAUAGAGAUCUUUCACUUCUUGGAUUAACUCCUAUGUAUUUAAUUUUACUUGUAGCUAUUGUAAAUGGGAUUACUUUUUUUUUUUUUUUUGACGGAGUUUCACCCUUGGCAUCCAGGCUAGUGUGCAAUGGCGCAACCUCAGCUCACUGCAACCUCCACCUCCCAGGUUCAAGCAAUUCUCCUGCCUCAGCCUCCUGAGUAGCUGGAAUUACAGGUGCCCGCCACCACACCCGGCUAAUUUUUGUAUUUUUAGUAGAGACAGGGUUUCACCACGUUGGUCAGGCUGGUCUUGAACUCCUGACCUCAGAUGAUCUGCCCACCUCGACCUCCCAAAGUGCUGGGAUUACAGGCAUGAGCCACCACUUCCAGCAAGGGAUUACUUUUUUAAUCUCUUUUUCAGAUUUUUCACUGUUGGCAUAUAGAAAUCCUACUAAUUUUUGUAUGUUGAUUUUGUAUCCUGGAACUUUACUGAAUCUGUUUAUAAUUUGUGUAUUUGUUUAUAGUAGUUUUUUGGUGGACUCUUUCAGUUUUUCCAAAUAUAAGAUCAUAUCAUUGGCAAACAAGGACAGUUUGAUUUCUUCUAUUCCAAUUUGGAUGCCUUUAUUUCUUUCUGUUGUCUGAUUGCUCUAGUUAGGACUUCCAGUACUAUGUUGAAUAACAGUGAUGAAAGUGGGCAUCCUUGCCAUGUUCCAGAUCUUAGAAAAGAGGCUUUCAGUUUUUCACCAUUCAGUUUGAUACUAGCUGUGGCAGCUUCCAUGAGAAUCACGCAGUUUGAAGAAGCAUUUCACUGAAAAAUAGGGAUUGCUGUUCUGGAAAGACAAAACAAUUGUCUACAAUUCUAAAGAAGAAGUGAACACAAUAAUUAAAUCAAUGUUAUUCUGGGUCUAAAGCUUAUAUUCUUAAUUAC